GUAGGUGGCAAGCGUUGUCCGGAGUUAUUGGGCGUAAAGCGCGCGCAGGCGGUUCUUUAAGUCUGAUGUGAAAGCCCACGGCUCAACCGUGGAGGGUCAUUGGAAACUGGAGAACUUGAGUACAGAAGAGGAAAGCGGAAUUCCACGUGUAGCGGUGAAAUGCGUAGAGAUGUGGAGGAACACCAGUGGCGAAGGCGGCUUUCUGGUCUGUAACUGACGCUGAGGCGCGAAAGCGUGGGGAGCAAACAGGAUUAGAUACCCUGGUAGUCCACGCCGUAAACGAUGAGUGCUAAGUGUUAGGGGGUUUCCGCCCCCCUUAGUGCUGCAGCUAACGCAUUAAGCACUCCGCCUGGGAGUACGGCCGCAGGGCUG
Molecule: ribosomal RNA, 372 nt
Filed under: uncultured organism
Description: partial 16S ribosomal RNA
Rfam family: Bacterial small subunit ribosomal RNA
Source: RNAcentral